RNAcentral lists this non-coding RNA (21 nucleotides) under Arabidopsis thaliana (thale cress). Lineage: Eukaryota; Viridiplantae; Streptophyta; Magnoliopsida; Brassicales; Brassicaceae. The record is from RNAcentral.
UCCGGGCGUCGGCCUGUGGGC